GGAUAAGACCACGAACAGUUCGCUGUUUGAGGUAAAAGAUGGCCUCUGCUCCUGCAAGCUAUCUCUUCAAGAGGGGCCCGCGGCCUAUCAGCUAGUUGGCGAGGUAACGGCUCACCAAGGCUAAGACGGGUAGCUGGUCUGAGAGGAUGGUCAGCCACACUGGGACUGAGACACGGCCCAGAGUCCUACGGGAUGCAGCAGUCAGGAAUAUUGCGCAAUGGAGGAAACUCUGACGCAGCGACGCCGCGUGGGUGAUGAAGGCCUUCGGGUCGUAAAGCCCUGUCGGGAGGGAAGAAAAAUCUGUUGGCUAAUAUCCAGCAGAUCUUUGACGGUACCUUCAAAGGAAGCACCGGCUAACUCCGUGCCAGCAGCCGUGGUAAGACGGAGGGUGCAAGCGUUGUUCGGAUUUGACUGGGCGUAAAGGGCGUGUAA
RNAcentral lists this ribosomal RNA (432 nucleotides) under uncultured bacterium. Its description in RNAcentral is "bacterial SSU rRNA". It matches the Rfam family "Bacterial small subunit ribosomal RNA", at positions 171 to 574 of the family's 1533-position model. The record is from RNAcentral.